GAUGAACGCUGGCGGCGUGCCUAAUACAUGCAAGUCGAGCGAACGGACGAGAAGCUUGCUUCUCUGAUGUUAGCGGCGGACGGGUGAGUAACACGUGGAUAACCUACCUAUAAGACUGGGAUAACUUCGGGAAACCGGAGCUAAUACCGGAUAAUAUUUUGAACCGCAUGGUUCAAAAGUGAAAGACGGUCUUGCUGUCACUUAUAGAUGGAUCCGCGCUGCAUUAGCUAGUUGGUAAGGUAACGGCUUACCAAGGCAACGAUGCAUAGCCGACCUGAGAGGGUGAUCGGCCACACUGGAACUGGGACAGGGUCCAGACUCCUACGGGAGGCAGCAGUAGGGAAUCUUCCGCAAUGGGCGAAAGCCUGACGGAGCAACGCCGCGUGAGUGAUGAAGGUCUUCGGAUCGUAAAACUCUGUUAUUAGGGAAGAACAUAUGUGUAAGUAACUGUGCACAUCUUGACGGUACCUAAUCAGAAAGCCACGGCUAACUACGUG
This 497-nucleotide ribosomal RNA is filed under the name uncultured bacterium. RNAcentral's name for it is "partial 16S ribosomal RNA". It matches the Rfam family "Bacterial small subunit ribosomal RNA", at positions 28 to 507 of the family's 1533-position model. The record is from RNAcentral.